UUAUUCGUCUUUAGUGGCAAACGGGUGAGUAACGCGUGGGAAUCUGCCCUUUGGUGGGGGACAACUAGGGGAAACUCUAGCUAAUACCGCAUAUAAUUGGUAACAAUGAAAGAUUUUAUUGCCAAAGGAUGAGCCCGCGUCAGAUUAGGUAGUUGGUAGGGUAAUGGCCUACCAAGCCUGUGAUCUGUAGCUGAUUUGAGAGAAUGAUCAGCCACACUGGGAUUGAGAUACGGCCCAGACUCCUACGGGAGGCAGCAGUAAGGAAUAUUGGACAAUGGGGGAAACCCUGAUCCAGCAAUGCCGCGUGAAUGAAGAAGGCCUUCGGGUUGUAAAGUUCUUUCGCUUACGAUGAUAAUGACAGUAGUAAGAUAAGAAGGUCCGGCUAACUCUGUGCCAGCAGCCGCGGUGAGACAGAGGGACCUAGCGUUGUUCGGAAUGACUGGGCGUAAAGGGUGCGUAGGUGGUUACUUAAGUAGGGUGUUAAAU
This 486-nucleotide ribosomal RNA is filed under the name uncultured Alphaproteobacteria bacterium. RNAcentral describes it as "bacterial SSU rRNA". It matches the Rfam family "Bacterial small subunit ribosomal RNA", at positions 82 to 600 of the family's 1533-position model. Lineage: Bacteria; Pseudomonadati; Pseudomonadota; Alphaproteobacteria. The record is from RNAcentral.